This 369-nucleotide ribosomal RNA is filed under the name uncultured bacterium. Its description in RNAcentral is "bacterial SSU rRNA". It matches the Rfam family "Bacterial small subunit ribosomal RNA", at positions 28 to 396 of the family's 1533-position model. The record is from RNAcentral.
GACGAACGCUGGCGGCGUGCUUAACACAUGCAAGUCGAACGGAAAGGCCCUGCUUUUGUGGGGUGUUCGAGUGGCGAACGGGUGAGUAACACGUGAGUAACCUGCCCUUGACUUUGGGAUAACUUCAGGAAACUGGGGCUAAUACCGGAUAGGAGCUCCUGCUGCAUGGUGGGGUUGGAAAAGUUUCGGCGGUUGGGGAUGGACUCGCGGCUUAUCAGCUUGUUGGUGGGGUAGUGGCUUACCAAGGCUUUGACGGGUAGCCGGCCUGAGAGGGUGACCGGCCACAUUGGGACUGAGAUACGGCCCAGUCUCCUACGGGAGGCAGCAGUGGGGAAUAUUGCACAAUGGCGGAAGCCUGAUGCAGCAACG